CUCCACUUCCCUCCUUCACCUGACAAGCUGACGACAGGCAAGAUGCGGGACUCAGGUUUUCCUGUUUCUCUGCGACUUAUCUCGUAUUUUCCUUCACUAGUAUUUUGAAAGUCACAUUUUGGUCAAGAGGAAAUAAACGUUGAUUGGACAGGGUUCUCCCCUCUGAAAAAUCGUGGGGUGUGAUAGGGAGAGAACUUGAACUUCAGGAGAUUAAAAUGAUCAGAUGUAGGUGGGAACACACUAGGCAACUGGGAAAAUCGUUUAACCCUUUUUGGUUUCCUUUGAAAAAUGACAGUGUUAAUAUUAACAACUCCACUUGCUACUUUAAGGAUUACAAAAGCUAAUUUAUGUAGACUCACUUAUAAACACUGAAGAAAAGGUUUUUCCAUGUUGUAAAGUGAAGAACCAAACUACACAGAACUAGGAAAAGCACAUUCACCUCUAACCUAGGUCAUAUUGUGAGGCGUGUGUCAGGACUCCACUUCUUUAUUGGGGCACCAUGAUCAUGUGUCUCUGCCAGCAAGUACCAGCAAAUUUACUUUUAUAAUAUCCUCGCUGAUAAUUCUUGAGUGCUUACUAUAUGCCUGGAUCAGUGCUAUAUGCCCAUUAUGAAAUUUACUCCCCAGGAGAGGGCCCGAACAAUGUUUACUUGGUCGUGUUUUCACAAAAUUUGCAGAAAAAAUUUUAAGCGCCAUUAAGAUCUCUUUCCACAUGAACUCUUCAUGUAAGGUGAUGCUAGCGACUGCAAGCUAACUGAAAGGCUAGAUGAUGAGCACCACAGCAAGCACCUUUGGACCCAGAAACGGAAGCUACCUUUUGAGUACGGCAGAACUGCUUACUUCUGGACUGCUAUCUGAAAGAAAAAAUUAUCAAAGAAAUGCCUUAGUGACAUGAAGUCCAACUACGUUCUUCUGAGUCUUACCUGCAUGGCUGCAAGAACCUCUGGAUCACUAAGAAUUUCAUUGAGCCCAGGCAUCCCUGCCAUUCCAGGCAUGCCCCCUCCCAUUCCAGGCAUUCCUCCAGGAAAAGUACCAGGCAUUCCCCCAGGAAAGCCACCUGCAAGAAUAAAUGAAAGAACUGUAUAGACACCAACCAUAUUCACAAGUAGUCUGAUAGUGUACUAUUUCUUUCCAGAUUAAAAUAACACACACUCCCAUGAGCAUGCACAAAGAACAAGGGUGUUACUAAACACAAAGCAGUCUGACCAUUCUAACUGGAUGUAACAAGACAAUUUUUACCUUCAAAUUUUCUCUUAAAAAAUAAGGCUAGAAAUCAGACUUUGCUACUUUCUGGAUUCAUUUUUUUCCUACGGAUAAAACUGUUAAAAAAGAAAACUAAUCUUACCUUAAAACAAAGAGACAGCUAACUGUCCCUUGGAAUUACAAAAUUAAAAAGUCUAACAAAUCAUCUUGGUUAUGUUAUAUCUUAUCUUCUCAUUCUUUAAUAUUGUCUGUUUCAACUAAGUUAAUUCAUGUUUUUCUUUUUUUUUAAACUAUACUCCUCUAGUGCAGUUA
Non-coding RNA from Equus caballus (horse), 1514 nucleotides. The record is from RefSeq and is a predicted model, not a curated record. NCBI's taxonomy places the organism in Eukaryota, Metazoa, Chordata, Mammalia, Perissodactyla, Equidae.